AGCGGCGUCCGCACCCGCACGCACACCCGGCCACGCUCGCACUCGCGCGGCCGCGGGGCCGGCUGCUUACCUCCGGGGCCUCAUGGUCGCGUCGCUAGCCUGGAUGCCCUGGACAUCAUUCCGAACAGCACAAUUCAAGGGUGGCUGAAACAACAAAAAUGUAACGUCUUACAGAUCUGAAGGCUUCCGGGUCGAUUCUGGACUGUGAUGAGAAUCUGUGCCAAGCCUCUCUCCUGGCUUCUGGUAGACUCGGGCAUUCCUUAGCUUGUAAAUGGCUGCUGCUUGUGUCAUCACAUUGUCUUCCCUUUCUACUUAUCUGUCCCCAUGCCCCAAUUUUUCCUUUUCAGGACACCAGUCAGAUUAGGACCCACCCUAAUGAUCUCAUCUUAACUUGAUUAACUACAAGGACCCUAUUUUUAAGUACACAUUUACAGAGACUGGGGGGUAGGACUUCAACAUCUUUUUGGAGGGAUGCAGUUCAACCCAUAACAAGAAUCAUUGUUAGAAAUGAUUUUGCUUCUUCACUGAAAAAUUAAUAUCAUUCUGCAGAGAACUGACUUGCUGCACAUGGCACAGAUUUUUUGCAUUUAUCAUAGUAAAAGAAAUCAGUCACAAAAGUUUGUUUUAGACUGCUACAUACCUAUCACAAAUACAAAUUAUUUCCAACAUCAAAAGUUAAUAAAGCAAGCACUGUCACCCAAAUUAUAUUGUAUCUAUUGAGCACUCCCUUAUGUACAGAAGAGGAA
RNAcentral lists this long non-coding RNA (746 nucleotides) under Homo sapiens (human). RNAcentral's name for it is "HSALNT0335918". The record is from RNAcentral. Lineage: Eukaryota; Metazoa; Chordata; Mammalia; Primates; Hominidae.